AGAACGAACGCUGGCGGCAUGCCUAAUACAUGCAAGUCGAACGAAGGCUUCGGCCUUAGUGGCGCACGGGUGCGUAACGCGUGGGAAUCUGCCCCUUGGUUCGGAAUAACAGUUGGAAACGACUGCUAAUACCGGAUGAUGACGAAAGUCCAAAGAUUUAUCGCCAAGGGAUGAGCCCGCGUAGGAUUAGCUAGUUGGUGGGGUAAAGGCUCACCAAGGCGACGAUCCUUAGCUGGUCUGAGAGGAUGAUCAGCCACACUGGGACUGAGACACGGCCCAGACUCCUACGGGAGGCAGCAGUAGGGAAUAUGGACAAUGGGCGAAGCCUGAUCCAGCAAUGCCGCGUGAGUGAUGAAGGCCUUAGGUGUAAAGCUCUUUACCGAGAUGAUAAUGACAGUAUCGGAGAAUAAGCCCGAUAACUCCGCGCCAGCAGCCG
RNAcentral lists this ribosomal RNA (436 nucleotides) under uncultured soil bacterium. Its description in RNAcentral is "bacterial SSU rRNA". It matches the Rfam family "Bacterial small subunit ribosomal RNA", at positions 26 to 517 of the family's 1533-position model. The record is from RNAcentral.